GAUGAACGCUGGCGGCGUGCCUAAUACAUGCAAGUCGAGCGAACAGACGAGGAGCUUGCUCCUCUGACGUUAGCGGCGGACGUGUGAGUAACACGUGGAUAACCUACCUAUAAGACUGGUAUAACUUCGGGAAACCGGAUCUAAUACCGGAUAAUAUAUUGAACCGCAUGGUUCAAUAGUGAAAGACGGUGUUUCUGUCACUUAUAGAUGGAUCCGCGCCGCAUUAGCUAGUUGGUAAGGUAACGGCUUACCAAGGCAACGAUGCGUAGCCGACCUGAGGGGGUGAUCGGCCACACGGGAACUGAGACACGGUCCAGACUCCUACGGGAGGCAGCAGUAGGGAAUCUUCCGCAAUGGGCGAAAGCCUGACGGAGCAACGCCGCGUGAGUGAUGAAGGUCUUCGGAUCGGAAAACUCUGUUAUUAGGGAAGAACAAAUGUGUAAGUAACUAUGCACGUCUUGACGGUAACUAAUCAGAAAGCCACGGCUAACUACGUG
This 497-nucleotide ribosomal RNA is filed under the name uncultured bacterium. Its description in RNAcentral is "partial 16S ribosomal RNA". It matches the Rfam family "Bacterial small subunit ribosomal RNA", at positions 28 to 507 of the family's 1533-position model. The record is from RNAcentral.